Molecule: non-coding RNA, 339 nt
Organism: Cricetulus griseus (Chinese hamster)
Lineage: Eukaryota; Metazoa; Chordata; Mammalia; Rodentia; Cricetidae
Source: the annotation of a RefSeq genome assembly
AUGGGAUGGAGCUGGAUUAUCCUCUUCCUGGUGACAGCAGCUACGGGUGUCCACUCCCAGGUCCAGCUGCAGCAGUCUGGGGCUGUGCUGGUGAAGCCUGGGUCCUCAGUGAAGGUGUCCUGCAAGGCUUCAGGCUUCACCUUCACCAGCAUCUAUAUCAGCUGGGUGAAGCAGAAGCCUGGACAUGGCCUGGAGAGGAUUGGAAUUGACCGGAUCUCUGUGUCUGCAAGUGAUGAGGGCGAGGUGCAGCUUGUGGAGUCAGAGGGUGACCUGGUGCUGGCUGGGGCAUCUCUGAGACUCUCCUGUGCAGUCUCUGGAUUCACCUUCAGUAGCUACUGA